GACGAACGCUGGCGGCGUGCUUAACACAUGCAAGUCGAACGGUGAAGCGCCUUCCUUUUUGGUGGGUGUGGAUGAGUGGCGAACGGGUGAGUAACACGUGAGUAACCUGCCCCCUUCUUCUGGAUAACCGCAUGAAAGUGUGGCUAAUACGGGAUAUUCUGGGUCUGUCGCAUGAUGGGUCUGGGAAAGAUAUUGUUUCGGUGGGGGAUGGGCUCGCGGCCUAUCAGCUUGUUGGUGGGGUGAUGGCCUACCAAGGCGGUGACGGGUAGCCGGCCUGAGAGGGUGGACGGGCAACAUGGGACUGAGCAACGGCCCGGACUCGUACGGGAGGCAGCAGUGGGGAAUAUUGCACAAUGGGCGAAAGCCUGAUGCAGCGAGGCCGCGUGAGGGAUGGAGGCCUUCGGGUUGUGAACCUCUUUCGCCAGUGAAGCAGGCCUGCCUCGUUUGUGGGUGGGUUGACGGUAGCUGGAUAAGAAGCGCCGGCUAACUACGUG
Molecule: ribosomal RNA, 494 nt
Filed under: uncultured bacterium
Lineage: Bacteria
Description: partial 16S ribosomal RNA
Rfam family: Bacterial small subunit ribosomal RNA
Source: RNAcentral